GACGAACGCGGCGGCGUGCCUAAUACAUGCAAGUAGAACGCUGAAGGAGGAGCUUGCUUCUCUGGAUGAGUUGCGAACGGGUGAGUAACGCGUAGGUAACCUGCCUGGUAGCGGGGGAUAACUAUUGGAAACGAUAGCUAAUACCGCAUAAGAGUAGAUGUUGCAUGACAUUUGCUUAAGAGGUGCAAUUGCAUCACUACCAGAUGGACCUGCGUUGUAUUAGCUAGUUGGUGAGGUAACGGCUCACCAAGGCAACGAUACAUAGCCGACCUGAGAGGGUGAUCGGCCACACUGGGACUGAGACACGGCCCAGACUCCUACGGGAGGCAGCAGUAGGGAAUCUUCGGCAAUGGACGGAAGUCUGACCGAGCAACGCCGCGUGAGUGUAGAAGGUUUUCGGAUCGUAAAGCUCUGUUGUAAGAGAAGAACGAGUGUGAGAGUGGAAAGUUCACACUGUGACG
This 461-nucleotide ribosomal RNA is filed under the name Streptococcus mitis. Its description in RNAcentral is "bacterial SSU rRNA". It matches the Rfam family "Bacterial small subunit ribosomal RNA", at positions 28 to 474 of the family's 1533-position model. The record is from RNAcentral. Lineage: Bacteria; Bacillati; Bacillota; Bacilli; Lactobacillales; Streptococcaceae.